GACGAACGCUGGCGGCGUGCUUAACACAUGCAAGUCGAACGGAAAGGCCCUGCUUUUGCGGGGUGCUCGAGUGGCGAACGGGUGAGUAACACGUGAGUAACCUGCCCUUGACUUUGGGAUAACUUCAGGAAACUGGGGCUCAUAUCGGAUAGGAGCUCCUGCUGCAUGGUGGGGGUUGGAAAGUUUCGGCGGUUGGGGCUGGACUCGCGGGUUAUCAGCUUGUUGGUGGGGUAGUGGCUUACCAAGUCUUUGAAGGGUAGCCGGCCUGAGCGGGUGACCGGGCACAUUGGGACUGAGAUACGGCGCAGAAUCCUACGGGAGGUAGCAGUGGGGAGUAUUGCACAGUGGGCCGGAGCCAGAUGCGACAGCGCCGCGUGCGGAAUGACGGCCUUCGGGGUGUAAACCGCUUUCGACUGUGACGAAGCGUGAGUGACGGUAAUGGGUAAAGAAGCACCGGCUAACUACGUG
This 468-nucleotide ribosomal RNA is filed under the name uncultured bacterium. RNAcentral describes it as "partial 16S ribosomal RNA". It matches the Rfam family "Bacterial small subunit ribosomal RNA", at positions 28 to 507 of the family's 1533-position model. The record is from RNAcentral.